CAAAAUAAUCGCUCCCUCCUCCUCCCAUCGCCCCCUUCCUUUCUCCGCUGCCCGCCGCCACCGCGCCACCCAUGCCCCCCAUGGUCCGGUCGCUGUCGCCGGACGAGCCGCCCCGCCACCCCUGCUCGUCGUCGUGCUGCCGACUUGGCACUGCCUGCCCACCACGCCGACCGCGAGCCUCUACCUCCGUCGCAAGCCACUGCCGCUCGCCGGGCGCUGCUGGUCUCGGGGGCUCCAUGUCGUGCUGGGCCGCUACUGCCCUGCGGCCCCAAGCCUCCGCAGACCGCCGGCGCUGGUUCCGCGGAGCCGCGUCUCUGACGCCCCCCGUCCCCCGAGGUUGCCUCUCCACCUCCAAGUCAACAAGAUCGAGCCACUGGCCAUGUGCCACUCCUCCUGUCUUCCGCGUUAAGUCAAAAUCCAACGAAUAGAUCCAUGGUCGCAUAGAGGAAGAGUACAAAUUUUUGGGAUGUUGAAGACUUCAAGCUCGAGGUGCGCCAGAGCGGUGGUAUGGCGAGCGAGCUGCUCUUCUGAUUCUGUUCUUGCGCGAGAGGACGAGUAGAGGAGGGCGACGGUCCCGGCAGUAGAUAAAAGAGGAGAGAAAAGAGAGGAGGCUGACGUGUGUAUCUAUUUACAAUAGGGAAAGUUUAUGUUUUUGGAGUUGGAGCCC
This is a long non-coding RNA of Setaria italica (foxtail millet), 667 nucleotides long. RefSeq lists it as uncharacterized. NCBI's taxonomy places the organism in Eukaryota, Viridiplantae, Streptophyta, Magnoliopsida, Poales, Poaceae. The record is from RefSeq and is a predicted model, not a curated record. The transcript is spliced from 2 exons.